Molecule: long non-coding RNA, 2394 nt
Organism: Glossina fuscipes
Lineage: Eukaryota; Metazoa; Arthropoda; Insecta; Diptera; Glossinidae
Exons: 3
Source: RefSeq, a predicted model, not a curated record
AAUGUAUAUAAGUUUGGCACAAGCAACAUUCCAACAGCAUCAAACGGAAAUUCUCUUCUUUAAGGAACAUCUCCAUUCAACAUACCAACAAAAAAAAAGGAACAUAUUAAGUCUUGAAGACGACUUGCGCUCAAAUGCCGUUAAUGACGACUAAAAUAAAAGUUUAAAUUUCUGCCGCUAGCAUGUUACCAACUGAACAAAAGGCAUAUGGCCGUUGUUAGAUAAAGUGGAAGAUCCCUUAAAGCUGCUGGUCGCCCGAGUAAAAAGGGACUAUGUAUUUUGUUGCCGUUCUGCCACAGGCUGAAGAGCUGUUGAUAUUCAAAGUUUGCUUACAAAAAACAAGGUGCUUAUGAUUUUCCUAUGGGAACCGAAGAAUUUUUUGAAAAAGACUUGAACGCGACUCCUCCUGAUCGUCUAUAUGUGGCUGUGUAUCUUGAAAAGUAUAAAGUGAUUGGAGAAACAGAUAAUAAAGUGGUCAAUCUUAGAGUAAAUAUGACCUAUGAACAAAUUAUGAAGCACUUUCCAUCUAUGAAGAAUUUAUGGAUUAAAUAGAAAUUACAAGUUUAUUAAAAUUCAAUCUAAUAUUUGUAUUUAUCCUUUCAAAUGUUUGCUUUUUAUUUAUUUUAUAAUUUUAGACAUUUUGCCAUCUAAACUAGAAGAAUGGAAGAUGUUUGAGGACAGGCUGUGCGACCGUCAAUUAUUUCAAAAGAAUUUUUAUGAAAAUUAUCAAGAGACAUUUCAACCUCCUUACCUAUUUAUCAUUACAUUGAACUUACAUCGAGGGCCAUACGCAAAGUUGUUGAUAAAAGUUUUUUACCACGGACUACCCAUAGAGAUCGAUUUGAUAUGUUAAGUUCACAAUUUCGUAUAAUCGACCAUACUGGUAAAAUUAUUACCGACAUCCUGGAGCAAUGAUUAGCUGAUCAAAAGAAGUGCUGCCUACGCGGCUCAGAUAGUAGGUCCAAUGCCGCCAUAUUAAUAUCCGAUGAAAAUGGAGUAAUCAGCGUAUCAGACGACAAGUAAGCGAUGAGGUCAACAUCCGUAAAUUCUCUUCACUUUCACUUAGUAAGCUUAAUUUAAUUAAAUUUUCGAAAGUAUUGUUCUUAACAUAACUCGCAUUUCACACAACUUUGAAGAUAUGGUGAAAACGCGAUUCCCGGCACUAUUGGCCAAGUAUUUGUCAGUAUAUGCCGUCAAGACUUACAUGUAUCGGUUAUGUCCAAGAUAGCUGUCAACUGUUCGUAGGUCAAGAAAAUGGCACCAUAACACAAUAUAUAGGCUCGGAAGACUGCAAUCGCCUUCUAUCAUUUGUGCGUUACUAUUUAGCACAUCAGGCUCGCAUCGUAUAUGUAGUCUUUUUCUUAGGCGCACAACUUUGAAAACUGCCCAAAUCAAAUAAGUUGAUAAGUUCCUAAAUUAUCAAAUUUUCCUUUUAUUUGGUUUUUAUAUACAAUGAAGAAAAUUUAUUUAACUAAUGAAUCUGAUCUGCUAUAGGUGUUUUUAGUAAAAAAUUCCAUACAGCAGGAUAAAACAGAUGUCAUAGAAACAUAAAAAAAUAAGUGCGCAAAAUUAAUCAAAAAUUCGAAAAUGCGAUUAAACACUUCAAAAACUUCGUUUUGUUAUAAAAAAGUGUAUUGCUCUCUACAUUUCUUAAUUGAAUCGACUUGACCUUAGUUUCAUUAUCACAUUCGAUGGCACGUAAGAUAUUGUACAAAUCCUCUUUACCCGUUACAGAGAUCAAAUUGCAAAGGUCUAUGUAAUUGUUGGAAGAACAUGAGCGCUUUGACUAGGCUGAAGAAAAUUGCUCUUUGGAACUAUUGCGGGCGUUGUCAAACAAAGUUUAUUUACCGCAAAUCUACUGCAAAACUCCACGCCGAUGGUUUACGAAGUUAUGUGGCGAAGAGAACCGUGAAAACGAUUCUUAAAUUCAAAGAGAACACGCAAAAAAUCCUUUUCAGUGCUCCACCGAUAUUUACUCACUGCCUUUGCUGCCAAUUGUAGUGACACAAAGUGCAGAGUAUACAUCAGGACAGGAUUUAAAAGUCUACAUACAUGUUUACCGGCUCGAGCAACACAUGACGUAUGACAUCAUACUCUAGAGGAACCGGUUUAGAUUCAGGACCUCGAAUGUUUGAGAUCAAAUUUCUUAUCGGAACUGCGUGACAGAAUACAACAAGCAAUUCUUUGUUGAAAGUGAACACUCAGGGUCACUUUUGCCAUCAAAAGAAACCCCCAGGCCCAGGAUAUUUUUUUAUAACCAACAUAUUGUACAGUGAUGAAAGGAAUCCUUUAAAUGCCGAUUAUUCGGCUCAUAUACGCCAAUGAGUGGCACUGUCUGCUCUUCUUUUCUUUUUCUCAUCAAAUAUUAAAGAUUGGGAAAUCAAUGAGAAAAGC